AGAGUUUGAUCCUGGCUCAGGAUGAACGCUGGCGGUAUGCCUAACACAUGCAAGUCGUACGAGGGUUUCAUACCCAAGUGGCGGACGGGUGAGUAACACGUGAGAAUUUACCCUAAGGAGGGGGACAACAACUGGAAACGGUUGCUAAAACCCCAUAUGCUUUCGAGUGAAAUAGAUUUAUCUGCCUUAGGAAAAGCUCGCGGCUGAUUAGCUAGUUGGUAAGGUAAUGGCUUACCAAGGCGACGAUCAGUAUCUGGUUUGAGAGGACGAUCAGACACACUGGAACUGAGACACGGUCCAGACUCCUACGGGAGGCAGCAGUGGGGAAUUUUCCGCAAUGGGCGAAAGCCUGACGGAGCAAUACCGCGUGAAGGAAGACGGCCUAUGGGUUGUAAACUUCUUUUUUCAGGGAGGAACUCAAUGACGUGUACCUGAAGAAUAAGCAUCGGCUAACUCCGUGCCAGCAGCCGCGGUAAGACGGAGGAUGCAAGUGUUAUCCGGAAUCACUGGGCGUAAAGCGUCUGUAGGUGGUUUAGUAAGUCGACUGUUAAAUC
This 554-nucleotide ribosomal RNA is filed under the name environmental clone OCS56. RNAcentral's name for it is "SSU rRNA". It matches the Rfam family "Bacterial small subunit ribosomal RNA", at positions 8 to 601 of the family's 1533-position model. The record is from RNAcentral.